UGAUUAAAGGAGAUUGACUGAAAAGAAGAGGCAAUCUCUCUAAUGUCUUGAAUUAUCUUCAAUCAUCUCUAGGGUGGUGAGGGCACACUGCGGACACAGUCAAUGACAAGUUUGGAGUCAACCUCCACUUGAAUUCUCCAAAAGCCGCCUUGUUGAGCACUGAGUAAGCUGUCGCAACGUGCCAAAAAUUCAGUUGUAGGAACAGUUGAUGUUCCUGUUCUUUUAUUGGCUGCAAUUAGGGGUAUACAAGAGUUUUCGAUUACAAAAUCCCUAGCGGCCGAGUUCCUGAUAACUGAGCCAUCAUCAAAGUUGAUCUUGAAUGAGCAAUCAAAGUAUGUUUUAGUUUUACAUCUUUAAAUGUUGUUGAUAUCGGUACGUGAUUCUAAAAGCCUGCGUAUUUUUUGUUCCGGAAAAAAAAAAAAAAAUUAGAGAGAGAGAGAGGUCUGCCUAUUGCUGGUGUUAUUCAAAACUGUAAAAGAAUAAAGAAACAAAGCUGAACUGAUUUUGUUAAACUUUCUUCAAAAUGUUCUCUAAAGUAUCCGAUUCUCGGUGAGUUCAUUGUUCACUAAAAUUGUUCCACAACCAAAGUACAAGUCGAAGUACUUUCAUGACACGUUUACUUACUCACUCUCUCUUCUCUGUCUUCCCCCACCUGACCAUCUUCGUUGUCCGGUACUCGAUCAGGUUCUGCCAUUUUACUAAUGCAAAACCUUUAUGCAUGUGUUCUGUAAUGGAGGAUUGGAAUCAGAAGCAAAAGAAUUGGUACUCUGCAGACUUUUGGUCACCUUUGUUGAUUGGAAUUCUUGGUGGGUUUUCUUAUGCGUAGUUAAUUCAGGUUCCAGUGUUUCAGCUUUGUUGAUUGGAAUUAUGUCAGCUAUGUAUUGAUCUGCCAUUGAAGUAUGGAUGGUGGAGAGUGGAUACUAGCAAGCAGAUUAAGACCCAAUUUGCAGGACACUAUUUCACGUUGCAUUGUUUAGGUCUAUCCCGUUUCAUGGACUGCAAUUUACAUGCCUUUGGACAAUGUGGGAAUGUGGAAUGUGAGAUCUGAGAAUUGGGCCCGACAGUACUUAGGCCAGCAGUUCUAUCUUUGUGUAUACUUCUGUAUAAUCACAUUUCACAUUUUCACCUAUUUAAUUCUAAGUACACUAAGCAGCUUUUGACAGAAGAUGAAACUUAAGCAUUCUCGAGUUUCCAAUCACUCUAAGCAUCGCCGAUUCUGGUGUUUACUAACACACAGCCACACAUCUCCUUAUACUUGCUUUAUCAGAAGAUAACAAUUACAUUUGGACUUUGAAUUUUUGUGGCAAAAUAUUAGCACUUAUUUGAUUCAGUAGCAUGUGUUUUUGAUUAAUGUUGACACUGUUCUUGGAGGUUUGUUGACUACUCAGCAUUUGAUGACCAUGGUUUCUACUGUCUUUGGCAGAAUCAGAAAAUGGGAAAAUGGUUGUAUCUAGGUGGACCAGUCUACUGUUGCAAUCAGAGAAGCUUUUGGGAAGUUUGAUGAUGUGUGUGAACCUGGUUGUCAUUGUUUGCCUUGAUGUUUGGGUAGUGCGGUAGCUGGUCAUCUCUUUCUACGGGUGCAGUAAUUGGAUGUUCCUGAUCAUGUUUGCUCAUUACAUAGGAUGAUAGGAUUACAUAGUAUAUGAGACCAUAAAGAAAUUGAAGGCAUUCAUGAAUAAUUCCCCUCCUCCAUUCAACACAUUCACUACUAGACAUUGACAUCUUAAUGCGUUGCAAUCUGGACAUUGAUUGAUCUUUAAGCUUCGCAGCAGCUAUACAAUCUGAAUUGACUACCAGUACCUAGAAAGUAAAGACCACUCAAGUUCUGAUCGAAACUCAGAGCGAUAAAAACGAAAGUUCUACCUACCCACAGCUACAACUAUUGGCACUUCAAAAGGCUUCUAUUCUACCAGUGCUUAAAUUGUUUACUCUAAUUUUGAAGUUUCUAGCAUCUCUAUUUUACUUAGAGUUGCUUAAAUUGUUAGUUUUUAUGCUUACUCAAAAUGACAUUUGGAGUUAUUUUAGGCUUUGAAUAAUUUUGUGCUUCACAGUUGGCAAAUA
Molecule: long non-coding RNA, 2061 nt
Organism: Rosa rugosa (rugosa rose)
Lineage: Eukaryota; Viridiplantae; Streptophyta; Magnoliopsida; Rosales; Rosaceae
Exons: 3
Source: RefSeq, a predicted model, not a curated record